Molecule: long non-coding RNA, 641 nt
Filed under: Marmota monax (woodchuck)
Lineage: Eukaryota; Metazoa; Chordata; Mammalia; Rodentia; Sciuridae
Source: RNAcentral
GAACAUCUUAUUUCUCUCAAAAAGGUCCAAUUUCAUCCUUGCCCAAUAAAAUUGCAUGCUAUCUUUUCAGCAGCAUCCAAGCUUAGUGCAAAGUUUCACUUGUCCAAGCCCCACCCCGAGACUGAAUCAAUGAUUGCAAGUUGUGACUUCUGUGAGCCUGGCAAGGAGGGACUUCUGCAGUCAGCAACCCAGGCUUCUCUCUUUCACAGGCUUGGGAUGUAGAACAAGGUCAAAAUAUUUAAUUUGGAAGCGACAUAUUCCUCUGCUGGUUUACCUUAGGAGGUCUCAAACAUUGAGGUAUUUGGUUUACAAAGAACUUCCAGACAAAAGAGAUUGGUUUCAUUCAGGCAAGGAGGACAAAACCUGAAAAAUGAAACACUGUUCAUGGCUCUUGAUUACAAGUGACAGAAAUCCAAUUAAAACUAGUUUAAUCAAAAAGAGAAUUAGUUCCCUUUAUUGGAAAUCCAGGGGAGAAUCUGGCUUCAGGAUCUCCAGUUAAUAAAGUUUUCUCUCUCCUCUCACUCCUAUUCUUGUGGCAGCUUCUCUGUAUGAAUUAGCUUCAUUCUCUCAAGCUAUGGAGGCUGGGUAUGGGAUAGUCAGAGCUGGAGAGUAGAAUUUGAAGAAACAUACCUAGAAGUCAG